RNAcentral lists this long non-coding RNA (1393 nucleotides) under Parus major (Great Tit). Its description in RNAcentral is "lncRNA (ENSPMJG00000017470.1)". The record is from RNAcentral. Lineage: Eukaryota; Metazoa; Chordata; Aves; Passeriformes; Paridae.
UACAAUACAUACUACUAAAAGUUAAACAAAUGACAACCAGAAGUCAAAUGAAGCUAAUGAAAAUCAGAGGAGGAUGAAAAUCAUUCCUUCUUCUUUACUCCCUACCCUAGAGAGGAAAACCAUUACAAAUGAUCACCUCCUUCCAAUUCUGUAGCACAGCACCCUGUAUCUUAUUCUAGUGGCAUCUGUUCCGAUCUCCCAUAGUCAGAGUGGCAGUUUCAGCUUUCCAUGCCAGGCACAGCUUUCUUUUCUCAUAAUGAAUUCUGCCUUUCCAGCGUAUCAGGCAUAAUGUGGUUGCUAUGGAACUGAGUUUGCCUUUUGCUGUUAAAAGAUGAUGGGCUUUCUCAUUUAGCAGCAUGCUGUUCCGUGGUCAGGGCCUGGAAGGGCCUCCAGCAUCAGGCACACCAGAGGAGGCUGAUGUCCCCAUUUCAGUUCUUUAUGAUCCAAUCUACAUUUUCCAUACAUGUUCUUUGCUGUUUUAUUUUUUUAAUUUCACUCCAUGAAACACAGGUGGCCACUAAGGAUUCUUGAACAGACUCUCCCAUUUUUGGAAUGGGGAAAAGCACAGAGGUAAGAUCUGUAGCUUCGGUUGUUAUACAUCUGCUCCCUCUUACUGCAAGCGCUUACACCAACCCAGCAGCAGCCUGAGAGACCAGGAGGGAUUCACGUUGCUGCAGGUGGGUAGAUAUUCCACAGGUUGCUCUCCUGGUUCGAUACUACCAGCCAGGAUUAUUUGGCAUCAGGAAUAAGUUCUCCCCGUGGCUGAAUGCAUUGCCAAGGCGCAGCGGAGAGAUGAGGGGCUCGCUCGUUCAGCCUGAUGCAGGGCUGUGCUGCGGAGCACGGACACAGGGCUGCAGCCCCUGAGCGCCUGGAGGAAGCGCAGCCGCUCCUGCAGGCACGGAAGGUGUCCAUCCUUCUCCCAGAUAAGGAGCGGGCAGCCCCGGCCCCGCGGCUCGGCGCUGCGCGCUGCUCCACACGUACCGGGAGACCGGAGGAAGGAUUUCCUCUGCUCGCUCCCAGCCCCUGCACGCAGCCCGAGGAUGAAUCACGAGCCUACUACUGCGAGAUACCAGGGAGCUUUUCCAGCAUCCUGGAUGGCGCCUACCUCAGCCCCAAAAGAAAGCUCUGUGUAAGUGGUGACACGUCAGCUGCACGUUUCAUUUUGCUGUCCCCUAUGGCAGGAGAAGUGAAGGUGGAAAAAAGCAGAAAUCCCACAGGCUGUGACAAGCAGCAUGCAGCACAUUGCCUGUGCUCUGCAUACGACCAAAAGAAAUGGAAAGUGCUAAUGACACCACAACAGCAAUCAUGUCAGAUCUCCUGCAAACAUGAGCUGAAUUUGCUCACAGCAACAAGGAACAAUUUCCAGAGAGAACCUCAGUGUAACAGCCAGUAA